CCUACGGGAGGCAGCAGUGAGGAAUAUUGGUCAAUGGACGAGAGUCUGAACCAGCCAAGUAGCGUGAAGGAUGACUGCUCUAUGGGUUGUAAACUUCUUUUAUAUGGGAAUAAAAUGUUCCACGUGUGGGAUUUUGUAUGUACCAUAUGAAUAAGGAUCGGCUAACUCCGUGCCAGCAGCCGCGGUAAUACGGAGGAUCCGAGCGUUAUCCGGAUUUAUUGGGUUUAAAGGGAGCGUAGGUGGAUUGUUAGGUCAGGUGUGAAAGUUUGCGGCGCAACCGUAAAAUUGCAGUUGAAACUGGCAGUCUUGAGUACAGUAGAGGUGGGCGGAAUUCGUGGUGUAGCGGUGAAAUGCUUAGAUAUCACGAAGAACUCCGAUUGCGAAGGCAGUUCACUGGACUGCAACUGACACUGAGGCUCGAAAGUGUGGGUAUCAAACAGGAUUAGAUACCCCGGUAGUC
This 460-nucleotide ribosomal RNA is filed under the name uncultured bacterium. RNAcentral describes it as "partial 16S ribosomal RNA". It matches the Rfam family "Bacterial small subunit ribosomal RNA", at positions 338 to 795 of the family's 1533-position model. The record is from RNAcentral.